This 320-nucleotide ribosomal RNA is filed under the name uncultured bacterium. RNAcentral describes it as "bacterial SSU rRNA". It matches the Rfam family "Bacterial small subunit ribosomal RNA", at positions 474 to 793 of the family's 1533-position model. The record is from RNAcentral.
GUUAGCUGCAGAAGAAGCACCGGCUAACUCCGUGCCAGCAGCCGACGGUAAUACGGAGGGUGCGAGCGUUAAUCGGAAUUACUGGGCGUAAAGCGCAUGCAGGUGGUUUGUUAAGUCAGAUGUGAAAGCCCCGGGGCUCAACCUCGGAAUUGCAUUUGAAACUGGCAGACUAGAGUACUGUAGAGGGGGUAGAAUUUCAGGUGUAGCGGUGAAAUGCGUAGAGAUCUGAAGGAAUACCGGUGGCGAAGGCGGCCCCCUGGACAGAUACUGACACUCAGAUGCGAAAGCGUGGGGAGCAAACAGGAUUAGAUACCCUGUAG